RNAcentral lists this ribosomal RNA (774 nucleotides) under uncultured Neocallimastigales. Its description in RNAcentral is "partial large subunit ribosomal RNA". It matches the Rfam family "Eukaryotic large subunit ribosomal RNA", at positions 26 to 635 of the family's 3401-position model. Lineage: Eukaryota; Fungi; Neocallimastigomycota; Neocallimastigomycetes; Neocallimastigales. The record is from RNAcentral.
CGCAUCUGUGCAUGCAGCAUAUCAAUAAGCGGAGGAAAAGAAACUAACAAGGAUUCCCUUAGUAACGGCGAGUGAAGCGGGAAGAGCUCAAAUUUGAAAUCUUCAAGGUUUUACCUUGACGAAUUGUAGUUUAAAGAAGUGUUCUCUGUUGAAGUUUUGGUAAAAGUUCUUUGGAAUAGGACAUCAUAGAGGGUGAGAAUCCCGUAUUUGACCAUUAUUUUCAGCUGUGUGAUACACUUUCAAAGAGUCGGAUUGUUUGGGAAUGCAGUCCAAAAUGGGUGGUAAAUUUCAUCUAAAGCUAAAUAUUGGCGAGAGACCGAUAGCGAACAAGUACCGUGAGGGAAAGAUGAAAAGAACUUUGAAAAGAGAGUUAAACAGUACGUGAAAUUGUCAAAAGGGAGGCGUUUGACACCAGUGUUGUUUUCUCGAAAAUCAAUUAAAAAGAGUUAGAUUUUGUUGUGUAUUGACCUUAACAGCUUGCAUUUCAAUUUUCUUGCUUUUUUUAAUGCACUUUUCGUUUAACAAGUCAACAUCAGUUUCUUUUGUUGUAAAAAGGUCAUUGGAAGGUGGCUUUCUUUUCGGAGAAAGUGUUUAUAGCCUUUGACUCCUGCAAUCGGAGAGACUGAGGUCUGCAGCGUAGAUCCUUCGGGGUUAGAUACAUUUGUGCUAAGUUAUAGCUUUUUAUAGACAACUUGUUGACUAUGAUUAGUCUUGUAGCUUACUCGCUUAUGCUAUUUUACCUACGCUUAGGAUGUUGAUCUGUAGUGCGUGCGC